AUUGAACGCUGGCGGCAGGCCUAACACAUGCAAGUCGAGCGGACGAAGGGAGCUUGUUCCUGGCUUCAGCGGCGGACGGGCGAGUAAUGCAUAGGAAUCUGCCUGGUAGUGGGGGAUAAGGUCCGGAAACGGGCGCUAAUACAGCAUACGUCCAGAGGGAGAAAGUGGGGGAUCUUUGGACCUCACGCUAUCUGAUGAGCCUAGGACGAAUUAGCUAGUUGGUGGGGUAAAGGCCUACCAAGGCGACGAUCCGUAACUGGUCUGAGAGGAUGAUCAGCCACACUGGAACUGAGACACGGUCCAGACUCCUACGGGAGGCAGCAGUAGGGAAUAUUGGACAAUGGGCGAAAGCCUGACGCAGCCAUGCCGCGUGUGUGAAGAAGGUCUUCGGAUUGUAAAGCACUUUAAGUUGGGAAGAAGGGCAGUAAGUUAAUACCUUGCUGUUUUGACGGUACCAACAGAAUAAGCACCGGCUAACUUCGUG
Molecule: ribosomal RNA, 484 nt
Filed under: uncultured bacterium
Lineage: Bacteria
Description: partial 16S ribosomal RNA
Rfam family: Bacterial small subunit ribosomal RNA
Source: RNAcentral